GAUGAACGCUGGCGGCGUGCCUAAUACAUGCAAGUCGAGCGAACGGACGAGAAGCUUGCUUCUCUGAUGUUAGCGGCGGACGGGUGAGUAACACGUGGAUAACCUACCUAUAAGACUGGGAUAACUUCGGGAAACCGGAGCUAAUACCGGAUAAUAUUUUGAACCGCAUGGUUCAAAAGUGAAAGACGGUCUUGCUGUCACUUAUAGAUGGAUCCGCGCUGCAUUAGCUAGUUGGUAAGGUAACGGCUUACCAAGGCAACGAUGCAUAGCCGACCUGAGAGGGUGAUCGGCCACACUGGAACUGAGACACGGUCCAGACUCCUACGGGAGGCAGCAGUAGGGAAUCUUCCGCAAUGGGCGAAAGCCUGACGGAGCAACGCCGCGUGAGUGAUGAAGGUCUUCGGAUCGUAAAACUCUGUUAUUAGGGAAGAACAUAUGUGUAAGUAACUGUGCACAUCUUGGCGGUACCUAAUCAGAAAGCCACGACUAACUACGUG
RNAcentral lists this ribosomal RNA (497 nucleotides) under uncultured bacterium. RNAcentral describes it as "partial 16S ribosomal RNA". It matches the Rfam family "Bacterial small subunit ribosomal RNA", at positions 28 to 507 of the family's 1533-position model. The record is from RNAcentral.